UACGGUGAAUACGUUCCCGGACCUUGCACACACCGCCCGUCAAGCCAUGGAAGCCGGGUGUACCUAAAGUCGGUAACCGUAAGGAGCCGCCUAGGUAAAACUGGUGAAUGGGGCU
RNAcentral lists this ribosomal RNA (115 nucleotides) under uncultured bacterium. RNAcentral describes it as "partial 16S ribosomal RNA". It matches the Rfam family "Bacterial small subunit ribosomal RNA", at positions 1358 to 1482 of the family's 1533-position model. The record is from RNAcentral.